UCCUGUGGCUCAAUUGGUAGAGCAUUGCGCUAACAACACAAAGGUCAUGGGUUCAAAUCACAAAAAUGAG
Molecule: transfer RNA, 70 nt
Filed under: Danionella cerebrum
Lineage: Eukaryota; Metazoa; Chordata; Actinopteri; Cypriniformes; Danionidae
Description: tRNA-Val
Rfam family: tRNA (bases 6-63)
About the family: Transfer RNA (tRNA) molecules are approximately 80 nucleotides in length.
Source: RNAcentral